CUGGCUAGAUAUUACCUCCAGGGCAUUUCCUUGGCUGUUCUCUAAACCGAAUCCUGGAAGACUUUAGGAUGCUUGCAGAGUUGAAGGGCAGGACAACGUCUGGCUCGAGACCAGGAAAAAGGACACUGGAAUGACCGCACGCUGUGCAGCAAGAUGCUUAGCUGACAACAUUUUUUAGAGAAUGAAAAGUUAUGGCACCCUCGAGCAAUCAAACAAAGGACCGCGUCUACUCAAAGGUCUAUCGCGGAGAGCUCCAAAAUUUGGAUUAAUUUUAUGCUGUAGGGAUUCUGCCAACAGUCUCUAUGGCAAAGCAGUGUAAUGAAAUACAAUCUGUAUUUUGCCAUUUG
Molecule: long non-coding RNA, 347 nt
Organism: Pantherophis guttatus
Lineage: Eukaryota; Metazoa; Chordata; Lepidosauria; Squamata; Colubridae
Source: RefSeq, a predicted model, not a curated record